Long non-coding RNA from Ctenopharyngodon idella (grass carp), 2204 nucleotides. RefSeq lists it as uncharacterized. NCBI's taxonomy places the organism in Eukaryota, Metazoa, Chordata, Actinopteri, Cypriniformes, Xenocyprididae. The transcript has 3 exons. The record is from RefSeq and is a predicted model, not a curated record.
ACAAACAUAAACACAGACUUUUAUAAAAACAUCACAUGAGGUCAGUAAGUCUAUUGAUCCCAGCAUGCCUGUUCCUCACAGCUUGCCUCCACAGCUCCAUCCUCUCUAAAGACAAUACUUUUCCACAUGACUUGGUCCUAUAAAAAGACCCAGAUCAUUCUGCUAAGCCUGCACAUCUGCGUCCGUGUCUGAGGCCCUCUCGGCCAGCUGGGACUCUUAUCAGCUGCAGAUGACCUUUGCACAACACUCUCCACUGCAUCACUGAUUCCAUCAAACCACAUUUUUUCUUCCAUUUUCAGGUGUUCCGUACAUGGUUGAAAAAGCAUGCCAAUUGUUUUCUUACAUAGCAAUCUCCACCACUGAUAAGAAAUGCAACCUGCUUGCCGCAUAACAGUAAAAUGAGAGAUUAACAUAAAAAGGACUACAUUUAUGUAAAUGUUAUCAACAAAUGUCAACAUAAGCUUAUCUUACAUACACAACUGCCCUUCUAUAUUGUGUUAAAUUGACUGCACUGCAUAUAACAUACUGUCUGUUAAAGGUGCAGAAAGUGAUUUCUGAGAAACGCUAUUGAAAGUGGAUUGGACCGAGCACAACACACUUGUAGCCAAUCAGCAAUAGGGGGCGUGUCCACUCAUGAGGGGGGGAUUUGAAGAAAGACUGUAGAAAGAGAAAUGGCUGAGAGACAUUACAAAAGAGAAAAGUUUAGAGGAAUAUCACUGGAGAAAGAAGGGUUAUGAUCAGGCAAGUGCUUUAGGACCCACUUUCCAGUGCUGGAGAGACCUAAGCGGGAAGGCCCGAAAUGGACGCCGAGGUUGCAGUGUUUCUUCUCCAUACGUGAGUAACAUUGGUUUUGCUGUUUCACAGAACCAAGAUAUGCUGUUGUUGUAAUGUUAGCUAGAGUAACAGGACAGUUUUGAGUGUCAUUGUUUGUUUGGAGCUGCUGUGCUGCUGCUGGCGACUAACAACCAACUCUUGCUUGUGCUGUAUGUUAAUUUUGUGUUUUUCCUUGUUGUUCGUCAUAUUCGCUGUAUUUUUUUUUUUGCUUCAGAUACGAUAAAGAGACAUCCACUCUUGCAUUGUGCGUUUUUGCAUUUCGGGGGCGGAGCAAUGAAUGGAAGGGUGUGUUUGUUUGGGUUGAUUUGUUUUGGUCGUGUUCAACCAUGUUUCUCAGAAAUUGCUUACUGCACCUUUGAAGCUGCAGUCUGUAAUUUUGCCUCUUUGUCGCCAUCUCUGUUUGAAACCUGCAAUUGCAGUUGUUUGCGGAAUUAUUAUCUGUACGUGCGUUGUGCAUCGGCACGGCUCCUCAGCGCGGAUGAAUCUAAUGUUUGCUGUCAAUCACCACAUCGGUGUGGACACUGUACUUCGGAAUCACAGAUUGUAGUCUUGGAAGUAUGACCAAAAUAAGAAUUUUCACCAGAAAACGUCAUCUGAACAAGUAAGUAACAUGUCUGCCACUUUUGUUCUGACUAACUGAGGGAAAAAAAGCAUUACAGUUAAUCGCGCUGCCAAUGGUGAUUAAAUCUAACAAUUGCUUAGCUCAUAUCACAUCAAACCGUGCAAAUUAUUAUUAUUGUUAUACUUUGUUCUCAAAUUGUUAAUGUUAACAACAUCAGCAUCGCGUGACUAUGUGUAUUUAGUGUGUACUACCGUUACCUGUAGAUUUCAAUUUCUGUACAGUCUAAUCACUAAAGUUAAUUUGUCAUACCAAACAAUCCGCCAUCAGAAUGAUAAGUUUAAUUAUUGCACUUGCUGUAAGAAAAGGCUAUAAAUGAUCCGCCUCACAUACGAUAUAGCCUAUACUAGCUGGGACUUGUUCUUUAUGAAUACAGACGUGACGCAGUGACACAAAGACGAACGGCAACACGCUUGAAUUUCCCGCGGAAACCCGCCAGUACCACCCGAAUUAUAAAACAUUAUUACAAGCUUACCGUUGUGAAUCGGGCUAAGUCAGAUGUUCUUCCACUGAUCCUUUGAGCAUCUUGUGCUUCAUUCUCAAAUACUGAUCAUCAGAUUGUAGGCUAUACAAACUUGUGGCGUUCAUGCAGCUGGAGUUCUGAGUCCACAGGAAUCCUGUGCAGAAGAAGUAAACUCACCUGUGUCUCUGCAACAGUGGCUUUCCUUCAAACUGAGGGGAUACUACAAGAACUUUAAAACUGGCAGCACAUCUAUUGGGAGACGUGUCUUCUACAUCCUGAAAGAAAAAC